RNAcentral lists this long non-coding RNA (1431 nucleotides) under Sus scrofa (pig). Its description in RNAcentral is "lncRNA (ENSSSCG00005043822.1)". The record is from RNAcentral. Lineage: Eukaryota; Metazoa; Chordata; Mammalia; Artiodactyla; Suidae.
AUCCAUGAGGACGCAGGUUUGAUCCCUGGCCUGGUUCAGUGGGUUAAGAAUUUAGCGUUGGUGUAGGCCAGCAGCAACAGUUCCGAUUGGACCCCUAACCUGGGAAUCUCCAUAUGCCACUAGUGUGGCCCUAAAAAAAAAAAAAAAAAAAAAAAAAAAACCCAAAAAACAAACAACAACAAAAAAAGAGCAGCACAGCAGGCAAAAGGAACCGUCUGUGAGAGGGAUGGAAUUAUUUAAAAAAAAAAAAAAUGUCAUUCAUUUCUCAUAGGACCCCUUCAGGGAGGUUUUAUUAAUUGAGAAGUACGCUUAGCUUUCCACCAACAUCUUCUUCCCUAAGGCUCCCUAACUCAGUAACUGACUGUACUAUUCACUCAGCUGCUUUUAAAUUUAGAAACAUAGUAGUCUUCCUCUGACAUCUAUAUCUGUUCCCCUCAUUCCCCCACAUCCAAUUCUAUACCAUAGGAAAUUUGUUUUACCUCCUAAAAUUCUUGAGAAUCCAUUCACUUUUUGUCCAUUUCUUUUCCCUUCACUCUAGUCCAAGGGAAGUGUUGUAUCAUCUCUUGUUUGCAGUAUCCUUUAGUCACCCAUAGAUUAUCAGUUCCUGUCUCCAGUUCAUUCUUUACUUCUUAGCCAACACAAACUCAUUAAAUGUCAAUUCUGUGUCACUCCUUGUUCAAAACUCUCUAGUGCCUUCCCAAUGCCCUUAGAAUAAACCCCUCACAUGGUGUCUCUUGAUCUGCACACUAGUCUCUCAUACCUCUCCAUCUAUUGCAACCAACUCUUCCCUUUUCUCUUUCCAGCCAGGCUGGUUUUUCUGUGUGGCAAUGUGGCCAAGCUUCUUCCAUCCUCAGGGCCUUUGUACAAGCUUUUCCUUUGCCUUAGAAUUCUUUCCCUGCCUGCCCACUUACCCCUUCCCCUUUCCCAAGCUAAUGCCUUAUCUUUUAGGCCUCACUUUAUUUCUUUUUUGGCCACCUUGAGGGAUAUGGAGUUCCCAGUGCAAGGAUUAGAUCCCAUGAAGCUGUGGGGAUUGAACCUUCGUCUUGUUACUGCAGAGAUGUCACCGAUCCCAUUGCUCCAUAUCGGGAACUUCAGGUCUUAUUUUAAACAUAUCUUACCCAGGGAAACGUCCUUGUCCAGUCAAGUCUAGAUUGGAUCUUUCUGUUACUCACUUUUACUACUCUGUAUUGCUCCUUCAGCAUUUACCACAAUUCUAUGGUUAUGUUGUUCUUUUAAUUAAUUUUUCUCUUAUCAGAAUAAGUAAUACAUCCAUUUCAUGAAAAAUUCAAAUUGUAAACAGGGUAUAAAGUCUCCCCUUCCCUCUGCUACCCAGUUCUCCUUACAAGUAACUACUUUUAGUAUUUUGAAUAUCCUUUCAGAUAUUUUGAGUAUAUAAGCAAUUAUGUACAUAUUAUUCAUCUUUAUUUCUGC